UUUUGAACUGCAUGGUUCGAAAUUGAAAGGCGGCUUCGGCUGUCACUUAUGGAUGGACCCGCGUCGCAUUAGCUAGUUGGUGAGGUAACGGCUCACCAAGGCAACGAUGCGUAGCCGACCUGAGAGGGUGAUCGGCCACACUGGGACUGAGACACGGCCCAGACUCCUACGGGAGGCAGCAGUAGGGAAUCUUCCGCAAUGGACGAAAGUCUGACGGAGCAACGCCGCGUGAGUGAUGAAGGCUUUCGGGUCGUAAAACUCUGUUGUUAGGGAAGAACAAGUGCUAGUUGAAUAAGCUGGCACCUUGACGGUACCUAACCAGAAAGCCACGGCUAACUACGUGCCAGCAGCCGCGGUAAUACGUAGGUGGCAAGCGUUAUCCGGAAUUAUUGGGCGUAAAGCGCGCGCAGGUGGUUUCUUAAGUCUGAUGUGAAAGCCCACGGCUCA
RNAcentral lists this ribosomal RNA (447 nucleotides) under Bacillus cereus. Its description in RNAcentral is "bacterial SSU rRNA". It matches the Rfam family "Bacterial small subunit ribosomal RNA", at positions 179 to 611 of the family's 1533-position model. Lineage: Bacteria; Bacillati; Bacillota; Bacilli; Caryophanales; Bacillaceae. The record is from RNAcentral.